AGCUCCAAUAGCGUAUAUUAAAGCUGCUGCGGUUAAAAAGCUCGUAGUUUGACGUCGACGGCGGGCGCGUGGUGCGUCCAGGGUGGCGUUCACCGCGCGUCGCAGCCUCUCCGUUCGGCUCAGCGUCCCCUGGUGCUCUUGACCGGGCGUCCAGGGGCGGCCGGAACGUUUACUUUGAAGAAAUUGGAGUGCUCAAAGCAGGCAAAACCACGCCUGAACAAUGGUGCAUGGAAUAAUGGAAUAGGAUCUCGGCUUCACGUUUGCUGGUCCUAGGAGUUCGAGGUAAUGAUUAACAGGGACUGCCGGGGGCAUUCGUACUGCGGCGCGAGAGGUGAAAUUCGAGGACCGUCGCAAGACGAACGAGAGCGAAAGCAUUUGCCAAGCAUGUUUUCAUUAAUCA
Molecule: ribosomal RNA, 400 nt
Filed under: phytoplankton environmental sample
Lineage: Eukaryota
Description: partial small subunit ribosomal RNA
Rfam family: Eukaryotic small subunit ribosomal RNA
Source: RNAcentral